This 407-nucleotide long non-coding RNA is filed under the name Homo sapiens (human). Its description in RNAcentral is "long non-coding RNA NONHSAT157515.1". The record is from RNAcentral. Lineage: Eukaryota; Metazoa; Chordata; Mammalia; Primates; Hominidae.
AUUCUUUUGGGGACAGCAAUGUGCUGCGUGCACUAUCACCACUCUCCAGUAACCACGUUAUCAACUGGUUAUCAAGGGCCCAUGUAUGUGGCAAGAAGGCUAUGCUGGGCAUUGACUAAGGCUGCUUUAGCUUUCAUGAAACACUGUGGACCCUCCAGCUGACUGUGCGUCCUGCUCUGCUUUCAUUUUUUUAUAAGCACUUUGCCAGCAUAUACAAUGCAGCGGAGGAGCCAAGAUUGCCGACAGUUUGAACGAAUAAGACUUUCUGCUCAAAGGAUCCCCGGCCCUGGCAUACAGACAUUAAAUAUUUACUAAGGAAAUGAAUAAGCAGAAGAAAGAAGAGAAGAAAGGAAAGAAGGAAGGAAAUAGAUGUUUAUCUUAUUUGAAGUUAAUAAAAUAUUAAAAAG